UCGAAGACGAUCAGAUACCGUCCU
RNAcentral lists this non-coding RNA (24 nucleotides) under Arabidopsis thaliana (thale cress). Lineage: Eukaryota; Viridiplantae; Streptophyta; Magnoliopsida; Brassicales; Brassicaceae. The record is from RNAcentral.